Molecule: ribosomal RNA, 494 nt
Filed under: uncultured bacterium
Lineage: Bacteria
Description: partial 16S ribosomal RNA
Rfam family: Bacterial small subunit ribosomal RNA
Source: RNAcentral
GAUGAACGCUGGCGGCGUGCCUAAUACAUGCAAGUCGAGCGAACAGACGAGGAGCUUGCUCCUCUGACGUUAGCGGCGGACGGGUGAGUAACACGUGGAUAACCUACCUAUAAGACUGGGAUAACUUCGGGAAACCGGAGCUAAUACCGGAUAAUAUAUUGAACCGCAUGGUUCAAUAGUGAAAGACGGUUUUGCUGUCACUUAUAGAUGGAUCCGCGCCGCAUUAGCUAGUUGGUAAGGUAACGGCUUACCAAGGCAACGAUGCGUAGCCGACCUGAGAGGGUGAUCGGCCACACUGGAACUGAGACACGGUCCAGACUCCUACGGGAGGCAGCAGUAGGGAAUCUUCCGCAAUGGGCGAAAGCCUGACGGAGCAACGCCGCGUGAGUGAUGAAGGUCUGCGGAUCGUAAAACUCUGUUAUUAGGGAAGAACAAAUGUGUAAGUAACUAUGCACGUCUUGACGGUACCUAAUCAGAAAGCCACGGCUAACUAC